CAGGGAUUGCCUCAGUAACGGCGAGUGAAGCGGCAACAGCUCAAAUUUGAAAUCUGGCCUUCGGGUCCGAAUUGUAAUUUGUAGAGGAUGCUUAGGGUGUGGCUCCGGUCUAAGUUCCUUGGAACAGGACGUCAUAGAGGGUGAGAAUCCCGUAUGUGACUGGCAGCCUUCGCCCGUGUUAAGCUCCUUCGACGAGUCGAGUUGUUUGGGAAUGCAGCUCUAAAUGGGUGGUAAAUUUCAUCUAAAGCUAAAUAUUGGCCAGAGACCGAUAGCGCACAAGUAGAGUGAUCGAAAGAUGAAAAGCACUUUGGAAAGAGAGUUAAACAGUACGUGAAAUUGUUGAAAGGGAAGCGCUUGCAAUCAGACUUGCGCGCAGGUAAUCAUCUGGGGUUCUCCCCAGUGCACUUGCCUGCGCUCAGGCCAGCAUCAGUUUUGGCGGCUGGAUAAAGGCCCUAGGAAUGUAGCUUCUCUCGGGGAGUGUUAUAGCCUAGGGUGCAAUGCAGCCUGCUGGGACUGAGGACCGCGCUUCGGCUAGGAUGCUGGCGUAAUGAUUGUAAGCGACCCGUCUUGAAACACGGACCAAGGAGUCUAACAUCUAUGCGAGUGUUUGGGUAUCAAACCCAUACGCGUAAUGAAAGUGAACGGAGGUGAGAACCCUUAAGGGUGCAUCAUCGACCGAUCCUGAUGUCUUCGGAUGGAUUUGAGUAAGAGCAUAGCUGUUGGGACCCGAAAGAUGGUGAACUAUGCGUGAUUAGGGUGAAGCCAGAGGAAACUCUGGUGGAGGCUCGUAGGGGUUCUGACGUGCAAAUCGAUCUCAAAAAUUGCGUAUAGGGGCGAAUACUCAGUCUUUCGCUCCCCCCGCAGGCCUGCCACGGCAGGCUGACAUCUCUAGCAUGCUGGGAUUUUUAGCUAAAUACCAGCAGCCCUUCCCAGGGUUCACAGAUCAGAUGGAGAUGGCUCCGGCGCGCUGGAGUUAAGAUAUGAUCGGAGCGGAUUGUGACCAAUUCGUGCCUAAUCGAAGACUAAUCGAACCAUCUAAUCCAACUACUGGAUGGGAUAUGACAUGACUUGUAGUCUGGCGCGCCAGGCAACACUACCACUGUGCGGGUAUGCCGAGAGGCUACCUGCAGCCCUGUUUCCGGGGUUCACAGACUAAACGGUAGUGGCCCUCCGGGGUUCUGAUAUAGCCGAUUCCCGCUGGAGAGCGGGUGCGAAGAGUAGCUGGUUCCUGCCGAAGUUUCCCUCAGGAUAGCAGUGUUGAAUUCAGUUUUAUGAGGUAAAGCGAAUGAUUAGAGGCCUUGGGGUUGAAACAACCCUUAACCUAUUCUCAAACUUUAAAUAUGUAAGAAGUCCUUGUUACUUAAUUGAACGUGGACAUUCGAAUGUACCAACACUAGUGGGCCAUUUUUGGUAAGCAGAACUGGCGAUGCGGGAUGAACCGAACGUGAAGUUAAGGUGCCGGAAUAUACGCUCAUCAGACACCAUUUUCCUUUUGUGGUGUCUACUUUAGUCCCCCGGGGCAAGGUCUUUGAACUGCGUGGAGUGCGUAAAAGCUCACCCGCAGCCCUGGAAACGGGGUUCACAGAUUAAGUGAAGGCCGGCGCUGGCAGCGCUUGAGAUAUAAUCGGCUUCCGGGCGCGAGCCCGGGAACCCAGUGCAAAAGGUGUUAGUUCAUCUAGACAGCCUGACGGUGGCCAUGGAAGUCGGAAUCCGCUAAGAAGUGUGUAAGUUGUUGCACACCAUAGCACGUUGCUAGCAGGCCUCCGGGCCUGUGACAGCUCUAGAGUGCAGGAAAGCAUCCCCGGGUGCUACCUGCAGCGGUGCCUACGGGCGCUGUCUACAGACUAGACGGAGCUGACUGCGGGCGCGCCCCGCAGGGAAGAUAUAGUCGCUUGAGGCUCCGCAGGGAGCCUACGGCAUAGAACAACUUACAGGCCGAAUGAACUAGCCCUGAAAAUGGAUGGCGCUUAAGCGUAUUACCCAUACUUCACCGCUAGGGUAGAAACGAUGCCCUAGCGAGUAGGCAGGCGUGGGGGUCAGUG
This 2042-nucleotide ribosomal RNA is filed under the name Cyclaneusma minus. RNAcentral's name for it is "partial 28S large subunit ribosomal RNA". It matches the Rfam family "Eukaryotic large subunit ribosomal RNA", at positions 69 to 1402 of the family's 3401-position model. Lineage: Eukaryota; Fungi; Ascomycota; Leotiomycetes; Marthamycetales; Marthamycetaceae. The record is from RNAcentral.